CACAUUUACAGGAAGUAUGGUAAUACAUUCUUGUCAGCUGUCUGGGCAAAUCUUCUCUCGCAGAAUUGGAUUAAAAUUUAAUGUAUUUUAUUUCUCACUUCCAACGAUGUCGCAAUUAUUAGGCAGCUAUCAAGUCUCAAGAUAUGACAUAAUUUGAUAGAAUGUUAGUACCAACGCUAUCAGUGCAUUGAAGUCGAGUUCUCGAUACAGGGAGCUGCUGGUAAACUACCGUCGCUAUACAUCGACUAUGACUACAAUCCUACUUUUAAAAACAAACUACAUACAUAUCUCACAUUUGCGAGGACUACUUCAUCACAAGCAAAAAAUCGACAUUGGUAAAUAAAGGUCUGUCUUCUAUAACCACGAUGAAAAGAAAAGCUGGGCGAAAACAUUUGAGACUGCAGAUUGCAGAACUGGAACACUCUAUUUGAAGACAGUGGCUGCUGAGUGCUGAGCUGCAUCAAAUCUAUCAGCAUCAUGUAACUUCGAUCAGGAACAGACUCCAUUUCAUUUCCGACAACUAGCACCUGUUUUCCCUAGACUUACCAAGUAUUAAGUAACUGCAUUAGUAUUAGGUUAAAUUAAAGGCCCUACAUCGAACAAGUCUAACAAUUAAAACUUAAAUGCAAGAGUGCACAAUUUAUCACUAAAUAUCUUCCUCUUUUAAUUCUAAUCAACACACGGUUUCGUCUUUGUUUCACCCAAUCGUGCUGAUAAUCAGUAAUCAUGCACUCUGCACUCUAACUUCGAGAUGUUUCAAAAGGGCUCCCGACGAGUUGAAUUAGAUCAAUAUUUUCUUUUGAUACAUAGAUACUGAUUGGGAGGUUCAUCAUACUAUUCUUGUCACAUGGUAACGAUUAACGAUUAGCUGAUCAGCUUCCAGCAUCGACAGGCCGAAAUCCAUAAAUAUAAUCAGUUGUAAUUUAAUAUUUAUCAUCGUCCGGAUCAUCAUAAUAUUUUAAUUUAAAGUUACAAUUGAACGGUGUUAAGAAAGAUAAUUUAAGAGAAAUGUUUUGA
Long non-coding RNA from Bolinopsis microptera, 1017 nucleotides. RefSeq lists it as uncharacterized. The transcript is spliced from 4 exons. NCBI's taxonomy places the organism in Eukaryota, Metazoa, Ctenophora, Tentaculata, Lobata, Bolinopsidae. The record is from RefSeq and is a predicted model, not a curated record.